CUCUCUCUCAUCAAUCUCUCAAGCCCUGAAGCCCCCACACAUAAAAAGAGCUCGAAGCCACCCAAGGAAACGAAAGGAAGCCAACCCAAGACACAAAGCCCCAAAACGUACGGCACGAUCGCUCGCUUCCUCCCGGGCGGAGGCAAACGCUUCGCCCUCGCUCCCCGUUGGGUUGUGUGUUUUUUCAGUAGCUUCGAAGCCCCGCAGCCCAAGAAGAAACCCGCGCCGCCGGGCAUGGGCAUGCGUCACCCGGACGAAGAAGAGGAGCCCCCGUCGCCGCGGCCAUCCGCCUCCGCCGGCUGCUACGCCUUCCUCCGCCGCGGCGGCCAUGGCAGCACCACCGGGUACCGGCGGCUGGAGUCCUCCACGUCCGUGGUGAGGGUGGAGGUGGGGAAGGCGAGGAGCGUGUACCACGUGGACGCGGCGGUGCUGGAGGCGGAGCCGGUGCGGCGGCUGCUGGCGGCGGCCGGGCGGCGGGGCCCCGGCGCGGCGGUGGUGGCGGUGGCCGUCGACGCCUUGCUGUUCGAGCACCUCCUCUGGCUGGCCGAUGACGGCGGGGUGGGUGGGUCCGCCGCCGGUGUCGACGCCGCUGACCUGUCGGAGAUCGUCGAGUUCUACUCCCAGGACGACGAGGAUCCGUAAGACCACCAAGGCGCCCUGAAACGCUAAGCUCUUCUUCGCGAUUCGAUUCGCUCAAUUUAACCUUCUUAAUUCGAAUCGAAGGUGCACACCAUAGCUAGCUAGCUAGUUCUCGAUCCUUACAGAUAUUUGUGCAUGAGCUAGCAACAUGACUACAACAUGUAUCUGAUGAAGUUAAUCGAUCGAUCGAUUUGGUUGAUACUCCGGUGAUAAGAUUUGUGUUGUCGUCGUCGUCGUGUUCGUGUGCCAUGGUUCCGAGCGUCGGUGUAGAGACGCUACAUAUGGAGCGCAACAGCUCACCUGUAGCGUGUGCAUUAGUUUGAUCUGACCU
Molecule: RNA transcript, 970 nt
Organism: Brachypodium distachyon (stiff brome)
Lineage: Eukaryota; Viridiplantae; Streptophyta; Magnoliopsida; Poales; Poaceae
Exons: 1
Source: RefSeq, a predicted model, not a curated record